AUGGAUCUCUCGCGGCCAGAGUCGUCGGACCUCUCGCUCGGGCUCCACCCGCACGCCCACGCGCGCGUGCACGCGCGCGCCGCCACGCCGCUGCGGCUGUUCGACGACUCGGACGACGUCAAGACGGAGGGCAGCGUCGGGGGCGGCGGCGACGGCGAGGACGGGGACGACGAGGGCGCCGACCAGCACUUCUCGCUCCUCGGCCACUCGCUCUGCGUCAAGCGCCCGCGCCGCGGCCUCUACGGCGGCGGCGGGGGAGGGGAGACCUCCUCCUGCUCGUCAUCGUCCGCGGCGGCCCUGCGCCCCGCCAAGCGCCAGGCGUCGGGCGCGGAUCUGGAGGCGCGGCGCGGCGCGGUCCGCGCGUGGGGGAACCAGCCGCUCGCGGAGGCCGACCCGGAUGUGCACGCGCUCAUGGAGCGCGAGAGGGAGCGCCAGGUGCGCGGCAUCGAGCUCAUCGCCUCGGAGAACUUCGUCUGCCGCGCCGUGCUCGACGCCCUCGGCAGCCACCUCACCAACAAGUACUCCGAGGGGCACCCGGGCGCUCGGUACUACGGCGGGAACCAGCACAUCGACGCCAUCGAGCGCCUCUGCCACGAGCGCGCCUGCACCGCCUUCGGCCUCGACCCCGCCUGCUGGGGUGUCAAUGUCCAGCCCUACUCAUGCACCUCCGCAAACCUGGCUGUCUACACAGGGCUUCUCCUACCCAAUGACCGUAUCAUGGGCCUUGAGCCGCCGUCUGGUGGCCAUGUCAGCCACGGAUACUACACGCCUAGUGGUAAGAAGGUGUCUGGCGCCUCGAUAUUCUUUGAAAGCUUGUCAUACAAGGUGAAUCCACAGACUGGCUAUAUUGAUUAUGACAAGCUUGAGGACCGGGCAAUGGAUUUCCACCCCAAGAUUCUUAUCUGUGGUGGGAGUUCCUACCCCAGGGAAUGGGACUUUGCACGGAUGAGGCUGAUAGCUGAUAAGUGUGGUGCAGUGCUCAUGUGCGACAUGGCGCAUAUUAGCGGACUUGUUGCAGCAAAGGAAUGUCGCAGUCCAUUCGACUACUGUGACGUUGUUACAUCAACUACUCACAAGAACCUAAGGGGUCCUAGAGGUGGAAUAAUAUUUUUCAGGAAAGGGAAGAAUAUGAGGAAGCGAGGUGGAUCUUUUUCUCAAGGGGAUGAAAAUGAUUAUGAUUUUGAGGAUAAGAUAAAUUUCGCUGUAUUCCCUUCACUGCAAGGAGGGCCGCAUAAUAACCAUAUUGCUGCUUUAGCGAUAACGCUGAAGCAAGUUGCGACGCCUGAAUAUAAAGCAUACAUUCAACAAGUUAAGAAAAAUGCUCAAGCUUUGGCAUCGGCCUUGCUCAGAAGAAAAUGCAGAUUGGUUACUGGUGGCACUGAUAAUCACUUGGUGCUUUGGGACCUCAGAACUUUUGGCUUGACCGGGAAGAACUUUGAGAAGGUCUGUGAGCUGUGCCACAUCUCUAUAAACAAGACACCGAUAUAUGGGGACAAUGGCUCAAUAUCUCCCGGUGGCGUGCGUAUUGGAACACCUGCAAUGACUACUAGAGGUUGCCUUGAAGAUGACUUCGAGGUGAUUGCAGACUUCCUCAUCAGGGCGACACAGAUAGCUGGCAGUGUUCUGAAACAACACGGAAAAGUGCAGAAGGAAUUUCUAAGAGGCCUGGAGAACAAUAAGGACAUUAUAGAGCUCGGUAACCUGGUCGAGGCUUUCGCAUCACAGUUUGCGAUGCCAGGUUUUGAUGUAUGA
This 1752-nucleotide ribosomal RNA is filed under the name Triticum aestivum (bread wheat). Its description in RNAcentral is "partial small subunit ribosomal RNA". Lineage: Eukaryota; Viridiplantae; Streptophyta; Magnoliopsida; Poales; Poaceae. The record is from RNAcentral.